Molecule: ribosomal RNA, 429 nt
Filed under: Verrucomicrobiota bacterium
Lineage: Bacteria; Pseudomonadati; Verrucomicrobiota
Description: Verrucomicrobia bacterium partial 16S ribosomal RNA
Rfam family: Bacterial small subunit ribosomal RNA
Source: RNAcentral
UAGGGAAUCUUCCGCAAUGGACGAAAGUCUGACCGAGCAACGCCGCGUGAGUGAAGAAGGUUUUCGGAUCGUAAAGCUCUGUUGUUAAGGAAGAACGAGUGUGAGAAUGGAAAGUUCAUGCUGUGACGGUACUUAACCAGAAAGGGACGGCUAACUACGUGCCAGCAGCCGCGGUAAUACGUAGGUCCCGAGCGUUGUCCGGAUUUAUUGGGCGUAAAGCGAGCGCAGGCGGUUAGAAAAGUCUGAAGUGAAAGGCAGUGGCUCAACCAUUGUAGGCUUUGGAAACUGUUUAACUUGAGUGCAGAAGGGGAGAGUGGAAUUCCAUGUGUAGCGGUGAAAUGCGUAGAUAUAUGGAGGAACACCGGUGGCGAAAGCGGCUCUCUGGUCUGUAACUGACGCUGAGGCUCGAAAGCGUGGGGAGCGAACAGG